Molecule: transfer RNA, 88 nt
Filed under: Pseudomonas sp.
Lineage: Bacteria; Pseudomonadati; Pseudomonadota; Gammaproteobacteria; Pseudomonadales; Pseudomonadaceae
Description: tRNA-Met
Rfam family: tRNA
About the family: Transfer RNA (tRNA) molecules are approximately 80 nucleotides in length. Their secondary structure includes four short double-helical elements and three loops (D, anti-codon, and T loops).
Source: RNAcentral
UGCCGAGGUGGUGGAAUUGGUAGACACNNGGUAGCUCGUCGGGCUCAUAACCCGAAGGUCGUUGGUUCAAAUCCAGCCCCCGCAACCA